RNAcentral lists this ribosomal RNA (1210 nucleotides) under uncultured Leifsonia sp. RNAcentral describes it as "bacterial SSU rRNA". It matches the Rfam family "Bacterial small subunit ribosomal RNA", at positions 44 to 1264 of the family's 1533-position model. Lineage: Bacteria; Bacillati; Actinomycetota; Actinomycetes; Micrococcales; Microbacteriaceae. The record is from RNAcentral.
GUGCUUAACACAUGCAAGUCGAACGAUGAACCUGGAGCUUGCUCUAGGGAAUUAGUGGCGAACGGGUGAGUAACACGUGAGUAACCUGCCCUUGACUCUGGGAUAACCUCCGGAAACGGAAGCUAAUACCGGAUACGACGUACGGAGGCAUCUCCUGUACGUGGAAAGAACUUCGGUCAAGGAUGGACUCGCGGCCUAUCAGGUAGUUGGUGAGGUAACGGCCCACCAAGCCUACGACGGGUAGCCGGCCUGAGAGGGUGACCGGCCACACUGGGACUGAGACACGGCCCAGACUCCUACGGGAGGCAGCAGUGGGGAAUAUUGCACAAUGGGCGCAAGCCUGAUGCAGCAACGCCGCGUGAGGGAUGACGGCCUUCGGGUUGUAAACCUCUUUUAGUAGGGAAGAAGCGAAAGUGACGGUACCUGCAGAAAAAGCACCGGCUAACUACGUGCCAGCAGCCGCGGUAAUACGUAGGGUGCGAGCGUUGUCCGGAAUUAUUGGGCGUAAAGAGCUCGUAGGCGGUCUGUCGCGUCUGCUGUGAAAACCCGAGGCUCAACCUCGGGCCUGCAGUGGGUACGGGCAGACUAGAGUGCGGUAGGGGAGAAUGGAAUUCCUGGUGUAGCGGUGGAAUGCGCAGAUAUCAGGAGGAACACCGAUGGCGAAGGCAGUUCUCUGGGCCGUAACUGACGCUGAGGAGCGAAAGCGUGGGGAGCGAACAGGAUUAGAUACCCUGGUAGUCCACGCCGUAAACGUUGGGCGCUAGAUGUGGGGACCAUUCCACGGUUUCCGUGUCGCAGCUAACGCAUUAAGCGCCCCGCCUGGGGAGUACGGCCGCAAGGCUAAAACUCAAAGGAAUUGACGGGGGCCCGCACAAGCGGCGGAGCAUGCGGAUUAAUUCGAUGCAACGCGAAGAACCUUACCAAGGCUUGACAUACACGAGAACGGGCCAGAAAUGGUCAACUCUUUGGACACUCGUGAACAGGUGGUGCAUGGUUGUCGUCAGCUCGUGUCGUGAGAUGUUGGGUUAAGUCCCGCAACGAGCGCAACCCUCGUUCUAUGUUGCCAGCGCGUAAUGGCGGGAACUCAUAGGAGACUGCCGGGGUCAACUCGGAGGAAGGUGGGGAUGACGUCAAAUCAUCAUGCCCCUUAUGUCUUGGGCUUCACGCAUGCUACAAUGGCCGGUACAAAGGGCUGCAAUACCGUAAGGUG